AUGGAACUGGCCUCAUUGCAGUUGUUACAGGAGCUUCAAGUGAUCAUGGUUUGGAAACAACACGUGUUCUAUCAUUGCAUGGUGUUCAUGUCAUCAAGGCAGUAAGGAAUACAAAUGCAGGUAGGGAUGUUAAAGAAUCAAUACUUAAGGAAGUCCCCGCUACUAAUAUUGAUGUGGGAGUCUUUUGUCGGGGAGCCGGGUGGUGAGAUUGGAAAGACGAACCUCAUCCAUGACCAAGAUGGUUAAUUAAUGGCUGCAUC
RNAcentral lists this long non-coding RNA (260 nucleotides) under Rosa chinensis. RNAcentral describes it as "sRNA RchiOBHm_Chr2g0110181". The record is from RNAcentral. Lineage: Eukaryota; Viridiplantae; Streptophyta; Magnoliopsida; Rosales; Rosaceae.